UAGGGAAUCUUCCGCAAUGGGCGAAAGCCUGACGGAGCAACGCCGCGUGAGUGAUGAAGGUCUUCGGAUCGUAAAACUCUGUUAUUAGGGAAGAACAAAUGUGUAAGUAACUAUGCACGUCUUGACGGUACCUAAUCAGAAAGCCACGGCUAACUACGUGCCAGCAGCCGCGGUAAUACGUAGGUGGCAAGCGUUAUCCGGAAUUAUUGGGCGUAAAGCGCGCGUAGGCGGUUUUUUAAGUCUGAUGUGAAAGCCCACGGCUCAACCGUGGAGGUUCAUUGGAAACUGGAAAACUUGAGUGCGGAAGAGGAAAGUGGAAUUCCAUGUGUAGCGGUGAAAUGCGCAGAGAUAUGGAGGAACACCAGUGGCGAAGGCGACUUUCUGGUCUGUAACUGACGCUGAUGUGCGAAAGCGUGGGGAUCAAACAGG
This 429-nucleotide ribosomal RNA is filed under the name Actinomycetes bacterium. RNAcentral describes it as "Actinobacteria bacterium partial 16S ribosomal RNA". It matches the Rfam family "Bacterial small subunit ribosomal RNA", at positions 355 to 776 of the family's 1533-position model. Lineage: Bacteria; Bacillati; Actinomycetota; Actinomycetes. The record is from RNAcentral.